This 508-nucleotide ribosomal RNA is filed under the name Taraxella sp. UBC SEM W.Maddison d246. Its description in RNAcentral is "partial 16S ribosomal RNA". The stretch from base 124 to 421 matches the Rfam family "Bacterial large subunit ribosomal RNA", at positions 2073 to 2647 of the family's 2925-position model. Lineage: Eukaryota; Metazoa; Arthropoda; Arachnida; Araneae; Salticidae. The record is from RNAcentral.
GUGCUAAGGUAGCAUAAUCAUUUGUCUUUUAAUUAAAGACUAGAACAAAAGAUUUAACAAUCAAAUUUUUUUCUUUAAAUUAAUUUUCAAAAUUAUUUUAAAUGUUAAAAAACAUUUAUUUCUUAGAAAGACAAUAAGACCCUGAUGAACUUAACUUCAGUUAAACUGGGGAAGUUAAUCAAUUAAUAUUUUUUUAAUAAUAUUUUCUAAAAUUACUAAUAUAUUUAAAAAUAACAAGUUACCACAGGGAUAACAGCGUAAUAAAAAUUUAAAGAUCUUAUAACAAUAAAUGAUUACGACCUCGAUGUUGAAUUAAUUAACUUCUUUUUGUAAAAGAAAAUGAAGGAGGUCUGUUCGACCUUUAAAUAGUUACAUGAUUUGAGUUCAGACCGGUACAAGCCAGGUCGGAUUCUAUCUUCUAUAAUUAUACUACAGUACGAAAGGACCUAAAUUAAUUAUUAUUCAAUUAGCAGACAAUUGCAUUAGAAUUAGAAUCUAAAUAAAAUUA